CACAUGCAAGUCGAGCGGGCACUUCGGUGUCAGCGGCAGACGGGUGAGUAACGCGUGGGAACGUGCCCUUCGGUUCGGAAUAACUCAGGGAAACUUGAGCUAAUACCGGAUACGUGCGAGAGCAGAAAGGUUUAUCUGCCGAAGGAUCGGCCCGCGUCUGAUUAGCUAGUUGGUGAGGUUAUGGCUCACCAAGGCGACGAUCAGUAGCUGGUCUGAGAGGAUGAUCAGCCACACUGGGACUGAGACACGGCCCAGACUCCUACGGGAGGCAGCAGUGGGGAAUAUUGGACAAUGGGGGCAACCCUGAUCCAGCCAUGCCGCGUGAGUGAUGACGGCCUUAGGGUUGUAAAGCUCUUUUCUCCGGGACGAUAAUGACGGUACCGGAGGAAUAAGCCCCGGCUAACUUCGUGCCAGCAGCCGCGGUAAUACGAAGGGGGCUAGCGUUGCUCGGAAUCACUGGGCGUAAAGGGCGCGUAGGCGGCUGAUUUAGUCGAGGGUGAAAGCCCGUGGCUCAACCACGGAAUGGCCUUCGAUACUGGUUGGCUUGAGACCGGAAGAGGACAGCGGAACUGCGAGUGUAGAGGUGAAAUUCGUAGAUAUUCGCAAGAACACCAGUGGCGAAGGCGGCUGUCU
Molecule: ribosomal RNA, 633 nt
Filed under: uncultured Alphaproteobacteria bacterium
Lineage: Bacteria; Pseudomonadati; Pseudomonadota; Alphaproteobacteria
Description: bacterial SSU rRNA
Rfam family: Bacterial small subunit ribosomal RNA
Source: RNAcentral